UAAUGUAUCGGAACGUGCCCAGUCGUGGGGGAUAACUGCUCGAAAGAGCAGCUAAUACCGCAUACGACCUGAGGGUGAAAGCGGGGGAUCGCAAGGCCUCGCGCGAUUGGAGCGGCCGAUAUCAGAUUAGGUAGUUGGUGAGGUAAAGGCUCACCAAGCCGACGAUCUGUAGCUGGUCUGAGAGGACGACCAGCCACACUGGGACUGAGACACGGCCCAG
This 220-nucleotide ribosomal RNA is filed under the name uncultured bacterium. RNAcentral describes it as "partial 16S ribosomal RNA". It matches the Rfam family "Bacterial small subunit ribosomal RNA", at positions 111 to 334 of the family's 1533-position model. The record is from RNAcentral.